Long non-coding RNA from Serinus canaria (Common canary), 2275 nucleotides. RefSeq lists it as uncharacterized. Lineage: Eukaryota; Metazoa; Chordata; Aves; Passeriformes; Fringillidae. The transcript has 4 exons. The record is from RefSeq and is a predicted model, not a curated record.
UGUGUUGGAGUAAUGGUGUUUAAGAAGCUGAUGAGCCCCAGGAGUGCCUGAUCUUGGGUGAAGAGUGGCUGGGCUCUCCUGGGCCAGCUGCUCCCAGCGCAGUGAGCACCAGCCGGAGGCGGGCCCAACAGACGGCUGCGGGCAUCGCCGGAGGGCAGGGUGUCUGCGCAGCCUAGCACUUCCAGUCACCUCCUCUUCGCCUUGGAAAUUACAGCUCCUUUCUGUAACUAGUUGCUGAAAGUGUCCAGUUUUGCUGUUGUCCAGACAUGAAGGAGAUUUGGCUUACAUAGAGUGAAGGGCCUGAACCUGAUUGAACCAGAGAAUGAGAAUCAGCAAAGCCCAGUGCCUGUUACAUGAGAGAGAGCAUCAAGGAGAUGCCAUGAUGUGGAAACAGGCAUAUGUGAAAGAUCUUUCACUGCUCCUUUUGCUAGGAUGCUGCUGAAAUGGUGAACAAGUAAGGAUUACCAGAACAGGAGAUGGAGGCUGGUGUCCUCAGGUGUGAAUGACCAGAGCAUGUAGAUGAUAAUUAUCAGGUAUGAGAUUUUAAACCCAUAUUUGUUAGGUAAGUCAUAACAGUAGCUAAUUCUUGUCCAGAAUAAAUCCCAGUUUCUCUACACAGCAAUGUCAAAAGACAGGCUAGGAAGAGGGAUAAGCAUGAGGGAACGGUGCCAAUGAUGUAUGAGUGUGGUGGGGUUCCUUCUGUGUUUUGAGUGGUGUUCAUUUAAAAGGAAACAAAUGUGUGAAGAGGGGAAGGAGAAUGCUGAAGGAAGGACUGAGGCAGAGGGAGAGGUUAAAGGAAGGGCAUGAGAUGUGGAGGAGAGCAGUGAAUUUGAGAUUAAAGGGCUGAGAGAAGGAAGAAGCUGGAGGGAAGGCCAGUCAAACAGAGCAAGGGAAGUCCUGCCAGAGCACUGCCCCACCAGGCUGGCAUGGCUUUAUGCCCUAGCUAAAGCUCUGCUAAAUCCCUUUGUGCUUCUUGCCUGAUUUUACUUGGUGGUGAUGCAACCCAGCUAGUGACAUCACAUAAGCACACCUACAAGUGGUGUUGCAGAGUCUAGAUUGUGACCGGCAGAUUAGUCAGCGGUGUCACAAUCCGGUGUUUAUAUCAUUGUCUCCUGAAUGUGGAAGCGAUUGCCAUGGUGAUAACCAAGUUUUCAUCAGUGGAUCAGGCUGUUAAAAAAAGGCAUCCCUUUUGCAGAGACAAACAGCUUUGAGUUAUUUGGAAUAAAAUCAUAGUAAACUCAAGUUAAGCAGAAAUACCAAGUGUGGCACAUCACUAAAAUUUUAGCAGUUGAGGUGCAAUAUAAACAUGUGACUGAACUCCAGCACAUCCUGCAUCUGGGUCACCUAUGGCUACAGGGCAGUAUUAUAUUUUAUUGUUAAUGAAAAGUGUGCCCCUGUGCCAAAAAGCAGCUGUUGCGUCUGCAUAUCCCAGAAUUCUAUGAACAGAUGCAGGGAGCAUGAGGAGUGAAUGGCACCUGAGAAAGUCAGCAGUCCUUCCCAGGACUUGCGAUUUGAGCUGGUUUUGUAAUUUGUAUCGGAAACAAAGCAAGUUAUACUUGUUUGGAAAAAUGUAACUUUCCAGCCUCUUAAUCAGAUGACAGUAUUUUUUUCAUAUGUGAGAUCAGAUAACAAAUUUCUUCUAUGUAAUCUUGAAAUACAUUUUAAAGAUGGGUUCAAAAUAUAGAAUACUUUUUAUUGCAUGUCAUAAACAAUUUACAUCAGUUCAUUUCACUCUGUAGAGCGAGAUCCUACUUCAGUAUUGGUAUUUAUCUUUUGCUAUCCUAAUGUCAGUAUUUGCAGAUCCAAACAAAGCAUUUUGUUUUUAGAACACUAACUGUAAUCCAGUCAGAGGAUAUUAAGCAACUUCCAGGAUUAGACCCUUAGUUAAAGUUUGUCUUCAGUUUCAUAUUUCCUUUGGUUGGUUGGUUGAAUUGUUCUUCUAUAAUUUUGCAUUGGAGUAUAUCCUGUACAAAUAGGGAAGAGAUUUUGACCUAGAAGGAGAGACCUCUUAUUAGUGAGCAUACUUUUAAAUUACAGUAGCUAUCUGAAGCAUCUUGACAUAUGAUAGAUAGCGCUGUUGCUAUUUGGGUUUGAUUCAACUUGUUACUUAGACAAGCAACCUCCCACCCCUAUUUCUCAAGGAGAAACUCAAGAUCUUUCUGAUUUAACUUCAUGCAUGCCAGUUUGAAUAAAUCUGCUGUUUGUGGUGCUGCUGUUGGUGUUACACUGGAGCAUUUUGAUGCAGUUUCAGCGCUGACCACGUUGUAAGUGUCCC